This 26-nucleotide non-coding RNA is filed under the name Homo sapiens (human). Lineage: Eukaryota; Metazoa; Chordata; Mammalia; Primates; Hominidae. The record is from RNAcentral.
UGGCCAGAACUAUGACAGUUAAGGGA